This is a non-coding RNA of Meleagris gallopavo (turkey), 393 nucleotides long. The record is from RefSeq and is a predicted model, not a curated record. Lineage: Eukaryota; Metazoa; Chordata; Aves; Galliformes; Phasianidae.
CCACUGCCCUGAGAAGGGAGGGUUGGUGACGUCUGCGAUGAAUUGAAUUUCCGUCUUGUGACUUUUCUGUUGCAGAACAUGGAGGAGCGGCUGAGCAAUGGAGUUGGGACUCGGGGGAGCAAUAGGUGCCUGUGUCCCAAGCUUCCUGUGUGGCCCUUGCAAGCUCCUGCUCCCCUCGCCUGCAAGUGGAGCGAUGCUCAAGUUUGAGGAAUCUUUUCCUCGGCAGGCGGUAAAAGACGCCGCAGCUGCGAGUUUUGUGUCCUUCUUUGUUAUUGGAAAGCAGCCUCCUUGAGAGCAGGAGAGCAGCAGGCUGUCUGCUGUGUGGCUGCUGAAGGGCGUUUCUCCCCAGCUGAGAUCCCUGAGCCCACGCUGGCGGAGAACGAGCUGCGCCGC